CCAUGAAGCACUCUGGGGUCUUGUGAAAAUAUAAAUUCUGAUUCUGUAGGUCAUAAUGGAGCCCGAGAUUGUGCAUUUCUACAAGGUCCCAGAUGAUACGGAU
This 103-nucleotide microRNA precursor is filed under the name Marmota monax (woodchuck). Lineage: Eukaryota; Metazoa; Chordata; Mammalia; Rodentia; Sciuridae. The record is from RNAcentral.